Molecule: ribosomal RNA, 478 nt
Filed under: uncultured bacterium
Lineage: Bacteria
Description: partial 16S ribosomal RNA
Rfam family: Bacterial small subunit ribosomal RNA
Source: RNAcentral
GACGAACGCUGGCGGCAUGCCUAACACAUGCAAGUCGAGCGAGCAGAUCCCUUCGGGGUGAAGCUAGCGGCGGACGGGUGAGUAACACGUGGGCAACCUGCCUCAUAGAGGGGAAUAGCCUUCCGAAAGGAAGAUUAAUACCGCAUAAGAUUGUAGCUUCGCAUGAAGUAGCAAUUAAAGGAGCAAUCCACUAUGAGAUGGGCCCGCGGCGCAUUAGCUAGUUGGUGAGGUAACGGCUCACCAAGGCGACGAUGCGUAGCCGACCUGAGAGGGUGAUCGGCCACAUUGGGACUGAGACACGGCCCAGACUCCUACGGGAGGCAGCAGUGGGGAAUAUCGCACAAUGGGGGAAACCCUGAUGCAGCAAUGCCGCGUGAGUGAUGACGGCCUUCGGGUUGUAAAGCUCUGUCUUCGGGGACGACAAUGACGGUACCCGAGGAGGAAGCCACGGCUAACUACGUGCCAGCAGCCGCCGUAA